RNAcentral lists this small RNA (126 nucleotides) under Salmonella enterica subsp. enterica serovar Infantis. RNAcentral describes it as "RtT sRNA". It matches the Rfam family "RtT RNA". From Rfam's summary of the family: This family represents a bacterial cis-regulatory element known as RtT RNA. The exact function of RtT is unknown although it is thought that it may be involved in changing the cellular response in relation to amino acid starvation. Lineage: Bacteria; Pseudomonadati; Pseudomonadota; Gammaproteobacteria; Enterobacterales; Enterobacteriaceae. The record is from RNAcentral. RNAcentral also lists the same sequence under 11 other names.
UGCUAUCUGCGAUUAUGGAAGAUUCGAACCUGCCGCAGGUUCGGGUCGAACGCAGUGAGACAACGGAGCCGUUUACGGCGACGGCCCGAAGGGCGAGCGAAGCGAGUCAUCCUGCACGACCCACCA